CAGGGAAUAGUUUAAUUAGAAUUUCAGCUUUGGGUGCUGAUGGUGGAGUCGGUCUCCUUCCUUGA
This 65-nucleotide transfer RNA is filed under the name Catagonus wagneri (Chacoan peccary). Its description in RNAcentral is "tRNA-Pro". Lineage: Eukaryota; Metazoa; Chordata; Mammalia; Artiodactyla; Tayassuidae. The record is from RNAcentral.